UCCCCAGUGGCGCAAUUGGUUAGCGCACGGUACUUAUAGACAGUUUCUGUGUGAGAGCUAUGCCGGGGUUGUGAGUUCGAGCCUCACCUGGGGAA
RNAcentral lists this transfer RNA (95 nucleotides) under Rhodnius prolixus. It matches the Rfam family "tRNA". From Rfam's summary of the family: Transfer RNA (tRNA) molecules are approximately 80 nucleotides in length. Their secondary structure includes four short double-helical elements and three loops (D, anti-codon, and T loops). Lineage: Eukaryota; Metazoa; Arthropoda; Insecta; Hemiptera; Reduviidae. The record is from Rfam by way of RNAcentral.